GUCUAUGACUAUGCCACCCUGAACGUGCCCAAUCUUGUCUGAUCUCGGAAGCUAAGCAGGGUCGGGCCUGCUUAGUACUUGGAUGGGAGACCACCUAGGAAUACCAGGUGUUGUAGGCA
This 119-nucleotide ribosomal RNA is filed under the name Pteropus alecto (black flying fox). The record is from RNAcentral. Lineage: Eukaryota; Metazoa; Chordata; Mammalia; Chiroptera; Pteropodidae.